CAUAGCGACUAUCGUGGCAUAUCAAUAAGCGGAGGAAAAGAAACUAACAAGGAUUCCCUUAGUAACGGCGAGUGAAGCGGGAAGAGCUCAAAUUUGAAAUCUUCAAGGUUCUACCUUGACGAAUUGUAGUUUAUAGAAGUGUUUUCUGUUAGUAGAGUGGCAAAAGUUCUUUGGAAUAGGACAUCAUAGAGGGUGAGAAUCCCGUAUUUGGUCAUUCUUUCUAGCUUUGUGAUACACUUUCAACGAGUCGGAUUGUUUGGGAAUGCAGUCCAAAAUGGGUGGUAAAUUUCAUCUAAAGCUAAAUAUUGGCGAGAGACCGAUAGCGAACAAGUACCGUGAGGGAAAGAUGAAAAGAACUUUGAAAAGAGAGUUAAACAGUACGUGAAAUUGUCAAAAGGGAAGCGUUUGACACCAGUGUUGCUUUUCCGAAAAUCAAUUACGAAUGUUUUAUUUUUGAGGAGUUAUGACUUCAUCGGCUUGCUCCUUUCUUUACUGAAACUUUCUUAAUGCACUUUUCGGUUGACAAGUCAACAUCAAUUUCUUUUGUUGUAAAAGGGUAUGAGGAAGGUGGCUUUCUUUUCGGAGAAAGUGUUUAUAGCCUUGUGCCUCUGCAAUCGGAGAGAUUGAGGUCUGCAGCGUAGAUCCUUCGGGGUUAGAUACGUUUGUGCUAAGUUAUAGCUUUUCAUAGACAACUUGUUGACUAUGUUUAGUCUUGUAGCUUACUCGCUGACGCUAUUUUACCUACGCUUAGGAUGUUGAUAGUCACAGCGUGUAC
This 775-nucleotide ribosomal RNA is filed under the name uncultured Neocallimastigales. RNAcentral's name for it is "partial large subunit ribosomal RNA". It matches the Rfam family "Eukaryotic large subunit ribosomal RNA", at positions 22 to 644 of the family's 3401-position model. The record is from RNAcentral. Lineage: Eukaryota; Fungi; Neocallimastigomycota; Neocallimastigomycetes; Neocallimastigales.